This 468-nucleotide ribosomal RNA is filed under the name uncultured bacterium. RNAcentral describes it as "partial 16S ribosomal RNA". It matches the Rfam family "Bacterial small subunit ribosomal RNA", at positions 28 to 507 of the family's 1533-position model. The record is from RNAcentral.
GACGAACGCUGGCGGCGUGCUUAACACAUGCAAGUCGAACGGAAAGGUCCUGCUUUUGUGGGGUGCUCGAGUGGCGAACGGGUGUGUAACACGUGAGUAACCUGCCCUUGUCUUUGGGAGAACUUCAGGAAACUCGGGCUAUUACCGGGUAGGAGCUCCUGCUGCAUGGGGGGGGUUGGAAAGAUUCGGCGGUUGGGGAUGGUUUCGCGGCUUAUCCGCUUGUUGGUGGGGUAGGGGCUUACCAAGGCUGUGACGGGUAGCCGGCCUGAGAGGUUGACCGGCCACAAUGGGACUGAGAUACGGCCCAGACGCCUACGGGAGGCAGCAGUGGGGAAUAUUGCAGAAUGGGCGGAAGCCUGAUGCAGAAACGCCGCGUGCGGGAUGACGGCCUUCGGGUUGUAAACCGCUUUCGCCUGUGACGAAGCGUGAGUGACGGUAAUGGGUAAAGAAGCACCGGCUAACUACGUG